UUGCGUAGGUGGCAUUGUAAGUCGGUAGUGAAAUCGUCCCGCUCAACGGGAUAUACAUUAUCGAAACUGCAAAGCUAGAGGACGAGAGAGGUUAUUGGAAUUCCUAGUGUAGGGGUAAAAUCCGUUGAUAUUAGGAGGAACACCGAUGGCGUAGGCAGAUAACUGGCUCGUUCCUGACACUCAGGCACGAAAGCGUGGGGAGCAAACA
Molecule: ribosomal RNA, 208 nt
Filed under: uncultured bacterium
Lineage: Bacteria
Description: partial 16S ribosomal RNA
Rfam family: Bacterial small subunit ribosomal RNA
Source: RNAcentral